Molecule: ribosomal RNA, 453 nt
Filed under: uncultured Porphyromonadaceae bacterium
Lineage: Bacteria; Pseudomonadati; Bacteroidota; Bacteroidia; Bacteroidales; Porphyromonadaceae
Description: partial 16S ribosomal RNA
Rfam family: Bacterial small subunit ribosomal RNA
Source: RNAcentral
ACGGAAGGCAGCAGUGAGGAAUAUUGGUUAAUGGGCGGAAGCCUGAACCAGCCAAGUCGCGUGAAGGAUGAAGGUAUUAUGUAUUGUAAACUUCUUUAGCAGCAGAGUAAUAAGGUCCUCGUGAGGACCGAUGCAAGUAUGCUGAAAAUAAGGAUCGGCUAACUCCGUGCCAGCAGCCGCGGUAAUACGGAGGAUCCGAGCGUUAUCCGGAUUUAUUGGGUUUAAAGGGUGCGCAGGCGGCUUUUUAAGUCAGCGGUAAAAUCGUGGGGCUCAACCCCAUCCUGCCGUUGAUACUGGAGAUCUUGAGUGCGGUUGAGGUUGGCGGAAUUCGUCGUGUAGCGGUGAAAUGCAUAGAUAUGACGAAGAACACCGAUUGCGUAGGCAGCUGACCAAGCCGUAAAUGACGCUCAUGCACGAAAGUGCGGGGAUCGAACAGGAUUAGAUACCCUGGUA